GACGAACGCUGGCGGCGUGCUUAACACAUGCAAGUCGAACGGAAAGGCCCUGCUUUUGUGGGGUGCUCGAGUGGCGAACGGGUGAGUAACACGUGAGUAACCUGCCCUUGACUUUGGGAUAACUUCAGGAAACUGGGGCUAAUACCGGAUAUGAGCUCCUGCUGCAUGGUGGGGGUUGGAAAGGUUCGGCGGUUGGGGCUGGACUCGCGGCUUAUCAGCUUGUUGGUGGGGUAGUGGCUUACCAAGGCUUUGACGGGUAGCCGGCCUGAGAGGGUGACCGGCCACAUUGGGACUGAGAUACGGCCCAGACUCCUACGGGAGGCAGCAGUGGGGAAUAUUGCACAAUGGGCGGACGCCGGAUGCAGCAACGCCGCGUGCGGGAUGACGGCCUUCGGGUUGUAAACCGCUUUAGCCUGUGACGAAGCGUGAGUGACGGUAAUGGGUAAAGAAGCACCGGCUAACUACGUG
RNAcentral lists this ribosomal RNA (468 nucleotides) under uncultured bacterium. RNAcentral's name for it is "partial 16S ribosomal RNA". It matches the Rfam family "Bacterial small subunit ribosomal RNA", at positions 28 to 507 of the family's 1533-position model. The record is from RNAcentral.